RNAcentral lists this long non-coding RNA (2972 nucleotides) under Olea europaea subsp. europaea. Lineage: Eukaryota; Viridiplantae; Streptophyta; Magnoliopsida; Lamiales; Oleaceae. The record is from RNAcentral.
CAACACACCAUGAACGUUGUUAAAAAGAUCCCACACAACAAAAGAAUAACUCACAACUCCUCAAAAUAAAAUCAUUAGCCCUAAUUUUUCCAUCUCUCGUCUCCACCUCCAUCUUCUCUCGUCUCUGCCCUUCCAUUUACUUUCAUCUUUCCCAUUGGCGAGCUCGGUGGUGCAAGAGGUCACUGGGCAUCGCGUCCAGGACGUCGACCAAGCAAUCGUUGACUUUGUCAUCAACAUCUUCGCCGACGAGGACUUCGAUUUCGGUGGAGGGAGCCUUUGAAGCUCUAGGCGAACUCCUUUUCGACUCUUGUUUAAGAUUUUUCCAUCUUUUAAUAUAUGUAUUCUGUGUUUUGAAUCUCAAUUUGUUUAUGAUUGUUAAUGGACAGAUGGAUGAGCCUGUGGUGGAAGAUGUGAGGGAGGAUGAGGAACACGAAGAUGACGUUGAGGACUCCGAUGAUGAAGACGAUGACAAGGAAGGUGGUAUCGCAAGUAAUUUUUCUUCUCUAUUUUUUUUUUUUUACUGAUUAUUGUUAUUUUUUUACUAUGAAUAUUGUAUUUAGUUCUUAAAUGUUUACUGCUUUAUUGUUUAAUUUUUUGACAUUGAAUAUGCUUCUGGUUGAUGUAUAAGUAUCUGGAAUUUGUAAUGGCCCGGAAAUUUUUUUGGUUUUUAAGCAGGUUAUUAUUAUUUUUUUUAUUAUUAUUUACCACAACCUAAUCAAAAAUGGAAGCAAAAUAGUGAAGUGGGUUGUCUACAGGUUAUUAUUAUUAUUAUUAUUAUUAUUAUUAUUAUUAUUAUUAUUAUUAUUAUCAUCAUCAUUUACCACAACCUGUACAGAAAUUAAAACUUUUUUCACCUUUUUGUUCUCCUAGAAAUAAUUUAUGCAAGGCAAUAAACAAAAAAUUUAAAGAGUUCAAAUCAAAGUUCCUCUUCAAAUUAAAGUUCCUCUGUUCCAGAAUCAUUAAGUUGGAGAUUUCUUUCAUUUAAGGCAUUGAAAGAUCAAUCAGAAAGAAUGAAAAAACUGAUCCCAGCAUAAGAAAUUAAUUGAAACAAAUCACUACCAUCAGCACAGAAAGAUAGAUUAAGAAGAGAGAUUAUAUUUGUUUCAAGAGAUGAGACUGAUACAUUGAAGAUCAGAAACGAACCUUAACACCCCACCACCCUAAACCCACCCAACCAACAAAAAAAUAUAGAUAUGAAACAUUACAUUUAGAAAAGAUAACCCCUUGCCCUUGGUGGAUCCAAACUACCUAUUUUUCUAUGUAAUAACAGAAACUGCAAAUUACUAGUUUUUACUCCAAAAUGGUGAUGCACAAAAAGGAGUCACAGGUGGGGAAUUUUGAUCAUUUCUUGCUAGAUUAGGAAGCCUUGAAAUUGGAGGAGCCACUGACAUGUUAAGAUCAGGGAUGGAAUUUGGGCCAUGAGACUGUGACAGCCUCUGCUUCAGCUCAUUUAACAGUGCUUGAUUCUCCUGGUUCAAUAGUUAGCAGUUCUCCAAGUACAGCUUUGAGUUUAGCCUCUCCAUUUCGGUCAAACAUUUACAAAAAUGUAAGCAAAUUAACUACAUACCUUUUGGUAUAAAGACAAGAAUUAAGUGUACAAAGAAACCCAUAAAAAGAAAGAGAAAAGAAGAAAGAAUACCUCUUGGAAGGUUGGUUAGAAAAGAAGGAGAAGAAGAAGAAGAUUUUUUGAGAAAAAUGAAAAAAGUGAGAGACAAGGUGAAAGGGUAGGUGAAUAAUGUAGUCAGUUAAUGCAGGUAAACUUCACAAUGAUAUUGGAUUUAUAAAGUGUGGUUGCCCCCUCUCUUUUUGCCAAUGAUUUCACUGUUUGCAUAAAAAUCAACAUUACCUUUUUUAUGCUUCCAGUAUAUUUUUCUGUUUCCUCUUCGUUACUGUUUGUGCAUAUAUAAUUGGAGAAAAGAGUAAAUUUUAUCAGUGGUCACUGAAUUUUCAGCUCAAUCUCAACUGAGUCACUGAAUUUUAAGUAAAGUUUCAUUCUGGGAAUUCCUGCUGAUGCUAAUCUAGGCUGGGAGGAUUAUUUUCUUUGAGUUGGGUUGGUCAUCGAGAAAUGGAACCUGUAUCUUGGCGGGGCAAACCUUGGUGGCGUUGCAAGGAGGGAGAUUGAUCACAUUCUCUCUUUCACUUGCAUAUGCAGCUGGGCUUUUGCAGCCAUGGCAGUAUCUCACUCUCUUUGCUUGUAUUUUCAAAUCUGAGCCUAACAUUUAUAAAUUAACUCUUUAAGUCUUCCCAAACAUUCCCCAAGUCUUCCUUGCAAUUUGGAAAAAAUCCCAAACUCAAGAAUGAGACAAUAGAGAGAGAGGAUAUUUCGUAAGGGUGGUUGCCCUCCCUUUUUGCCAAUGGUCUCAAAAAAUUAACAUGUCAACAAACUCUUUUUUCGCCUGCAAUUAACUAUAUUAUUUUUUAGUUUGUGACUUACUUGCCACCUCACUGAGAAGAUUCAAGGAUUGUUAGGAUCAUGCUCAUAUCGACUAAGCAAAUCCUUCAACCAAUUUUGGUUAAUUUUUAUUUCAAAUGUUUGUGCAAGCUCUUCAAUGCGUGUGUUUAGUAUCAAUGUAACGUGUCUAAUACAAAUGGGUUGUACUUCUAACUCUUCCUCUUCUGUUUUUCCUUCUUUUAUCAAACACUUUCUUUUCAUUUAAUUACUAUAAGAGUAUUGGCGUAUUGCAUAGUUAAGAAAUUUGGUUUGGUUUAUUCUGAUAAUUAAGAAUGAGUAUUUGGUUUGGCUUCAUUUCUGGCUCUUAUAAAUAUUUGGUUUGGUUUCUUCUAAUAAUUAAGAAUGAGUAUUGGCAUAUUGCAUAUGUGUGAUAUUGUUUUACUCUUGAGCACAUCUAAUUUUAUUUAAUGUUAUGCAAUGUAGGUUGGUUUGAAGAUGCAGUCCUUGCUUGUCAGUGUGGUGACAUAGUCGUGCAUUGAAGCCUUCUAUCUCCAUAUGUUGGGUUUAUGGAUAAUUUCUU